This 434-nucleotide ribosomal RNA is filed under the name uncultured bacterium. RNAcentral's name for it is "partial 16S ribosomal RNA". It matches the Rfam family "Bacterial small subunit ribosomal RNA", at positions 29 to 507 of the family's 1533-position model. The record is from RNAcentral.
AGCGAACGCUGGCGGCAGGCCUAACACAUGCAAGUCGAACGAACCUUUCGGGGUUAGUGGCGGACGGGUGAGUAACACGUGGGAACGUGCCUUUAGGUUCGGAAUAACUCAGGGAAACUUGUGCUAAUACCGAAUGUGCCCUUCGGGGGAAAGAUUUAUCGCCUUUAGAGCGGCCCGCGUCUGAUUAGCUAGUUGGUUGAGGUAAUGGCUCACCAAGGCGACGAUCAGUAGCUGGUCUGAGAGGAUGAUCAGCCACAUUGGGACUGAGACACGGCCCAAACUCCUACGGGAGGCAGCAGUGGGGAAUCGUGCGCAAUGGGCGAAAGCCUGACGCAGCCAUGCCGCGUGAAUGAUGAAGGUCUUAGGAUUGUAAAAUUCUUUCAACGGGGACGAUAAUGACGGUACCCGGAGAAGAAGCCCCGGCUAACUUCGUG